Molecule: ribosomal RNA, 497 nt
Filed under: uncultured bacterium
Lineage: Bacteria
Description: partial 16S ribosomal RNA
Rfam family: Bacterial small subunit ribosomal RNA
Source: RNAcentral
GAUGAACGCUGGCGGCGUGCCUAAUACAUGCAAGUCGAGCGAACGGACGAGAAGCUUGCGUCUCUGAUGUUAGCGGCGGACGGGUGAGUAACACGUGGAUAACCUACCUAUAAGACUGGGAUAACUUCGGGAAACCGGAGCUAAUACCGGAUAAUAUUUUGAACCGCAUGGUUCAAAAGUGAAAGACGGUCUUGCUGUCACUUAUAGAUGGAUCCGUGCUGCAUUAGCUAGUUGGUAAGGUAACGGCUUACCAAGGCAACGAUGCAUAGCCGACCUGAGAGGGUGAUCGGCCACACUGGAACUGAGACACGGUCCAGACUCCUACGGGAGGCAGCAGUAGGGAAUCUUCCGCAAUGGGCGAAAGCCUGACGGAGCAACGCCGCGUGAGUGAUGAAGGUCUUCGGAUCGUAAAACUCUGUUAUUAGGGAAGAACAUAUGUGUAAGUAACUGUGCACAUCUUGACGGUACCUAAUCAGAAAGCCCCGGCUAACUACGUG